RNAcentral lists this RNase P RNA (339 nucleotides) under bovine gut metagenome. RNAcentral describes it as "Bacterial RNase P class A". It matches the Rfam family "Bacterial RNase P class A". From Rfam's summary of the family: Ribonuclease P (RNase P) is a ubiquitous endoribonuclease, found in archaea, bacteria and eukarya as well as chloroplasts and mitochondria. Its best characterised activity is the generation of mature 5'-ends of tRNAs by cleaving the 5'-leader elements of precursor-tRNAs. The record is from RNAcentral.
AACCGAGCAGUUGCGUGGUAAAAAUAUUUAUCAUGAGGAAAGUCCGGACACUCCAGAGCAGGCCGCCGGAUAACGUCCGGUGCGGGCGACCGCGAGGAAAGUGCCACAGAAAAUAUGACCGCCGAUGAUUACUUUAAAGUAAAACAGGUAAGGGUGCAAUGGUGAGGUAAGAGCUCACCGCAGACAUCGAGAGGUGUCGGGCAGGUAAACCCCGGUUGAGUGCAAGAUAAGUUGAAGGUUAAGGCUGCUCGCCGUCUUCAGAAAAAUCGCUUGAGCCUGUGGGUAACCAUAGCGCCAGACAGAUAACUGCUAAAACAGAAUCCGGCUUAUGAGUUACUU